Molecule: ribosomal RNA, 1491 nt
Filed under: metagenome
Description: bacterial SSU rRNA
Rfam family: Bacterial small subunit ribosomal RNA
Source: RNAcentral
AGAGUUUGAUCAUGGCUCAGAUUGAACGCUGGCGGCAUGCCUUACACAUGCAAGUCGAACGGCAGCACGGGUGCUUGCACCUGGUGGCGAGUGGCGAACGGGUGAGUAAUAUACCGGAACGUACCCUAGAGUGGGGGAUAACGUAGCGAAAGUUACGCUAAUACCGCAUACGAUCUACGGAUGAAAGUGGGGGAUCGCAAGACCUCAUGCUCAUGGAGCGGCCGAUAUCUGAUUAGCUAGUUGGUGGGGUAAAAGCCUACCAAGGCGACGAUCAGUAGCUGGUCUGAGAGGACGACCAGCCACACUGGAACUGAGACACGGUCCAGACUCCUACGGGAGGCAGCAGUGGGGAAUUUUGGACAAUGGGGGCAACCCUGAUCCAGCAAUGCCGCGUGAGUGAAGAAGGCCUUCGGGUUGUAAAGCUCUUUUGUCAGGGAAGAAACGGGAUUUUCUAAUACAAAGUCCUAAUGACGGUACCUGAAGAAUAAGCACCGGCUAACUACGUGCCAGCAGCCGCGGUAAUACGUAGGGUGCAAGCGUUAAUCGGAAUUACUGGGCGUAAAGCGUGCGCAGGCGGUUGUGCAAGACAGAUGUGAAAUCCCCGGGCUCAACCUGGGAAUUGCAUUUGUGACUGCACGGCUAGAGUGUGUCAGAGGGGGGUAGAAUUCCACGUGUAGCAGUGAAAUGCGUAGAGAUGUGGAGGAAUACCGAUGGCGAAGGCAGCCCCCUGGGAUAACACUGACGCUCAUGCACGAAAGCGUGGGGAGCAAACAGGAUUAGAUACCCUGGUAGUCCACGCCCUAAACGAUGUCUACUAGUUGUCGGGUCUUAAUUGACUUGGUAACGCAGCUAACGCGUGAAGUAGACCGCCUGGGGAGUACGGUCGCAAGAUUAAAACCCAAAGGAAUUGACGGGGACCCGCACAAGCGGUGGAUGAUGUGGAUUAAUUCGAUGCAACGCGAAAAACCUUACCUACCCUUGACAUGUACGGAACUUACCAGAGAUGGUUUGGUGCUCGAAAGAGAACCGUAACACAGGUGCUGCAUGGCUGUCGUCAGCUCGUGUCGUGAGAUGUUGGGUUAAGUCCCGCAACGAGCGCAACCCUUGUCAUUAGUUGCUACGAAAGGGCACUCUAAUGAGACUGCCGGUGACAAACCGGAGGAAGGUGGGGAUGACGUCAAGUCCUCAUGGCCCUUAUGGGUAGGGCUUCACACGUCAUACAAUGGUACAUACAGAGGGCCGCCAACCCGCGAGGGGGAGCUAAUCCCAGAAAGUGUAUCGUAGUCCGGAUUGUAGUCUGCAACUCGACUACAUGAAGUUGGAAUCGCUAGUAAUCGCGGAUCAGCAUGUCGCGGUGAAUACGUUCCCGGGUCUUGUACACACCGCCCGUCACACCAUGGGAGCGGGUUUCACCAGAAGUAGGUAGCCUAACCGCAAGGAGGGCGCUUACCACGGUGGGAUUCGUGACUGGGGUGAAGUCGUAACAAGGUA